RNAcentral lists this ribosomal RNA (1398 nucleotides) under uncultured bacterium. RNAcentral's name for it is "16S ribosomal RNA". It matches the Rfam family "Bacterial small subunit ribosomal RNA", at positions 8 to 1362 of the family's 1533-position model. The record is from RNAcentral.
AGAGUUUGAUCCUGGCUCAGGAUGAACGCCGGCGGUGUGCCUAAUACAUGCAAGUCGUACGCACUGGCCCAACUGAUUGAUGGUGCUUGCACCUGAUUGACGUUGGAUCACCAGUGAGUGGCGGACGGGUGAGUAACACGUAGGUAACCUGCCCCGGAGCGGGGGAUAACAUUUGGAAACAGAUGCUAAUACCGCAUAACAACAAAAGCCACAUGGCUUUUGUUUGAAAGAUGGCUUUGGCUAUCACUCUGGGAUGGACCUGCGGUGCAUUAGCUAGUUGGUAAGGUAACGGCUUACCAAGGCGAUGAUGCAUAGCCGAGUUGGGAGACUGAUCGGCCACAAUGGAACUGAGACACGGUCCAUACUCCUACGGGAGGCAGCAGUAGGGAAUCUUCCACAAUGGGCGCAAGCCUGAUGGAGCAACACCGCGUGAGUGAAGAAGGGUUUCGGCUCGUAAAGCUCUGUUGUUGGAGAAGAACGUGCGUGAGAGUAACUGUUCACGCAGUGACGGUAUCCAACCAGAAAGUCACGGCUAACUACGUGCCAGCAGCCGCGGUAAUACGUAGGUGGCAAGCGUUAUCCGGAUUUAUUGGGCGUAAAGCGAGCGCAGGCGGUUGCUUAGGUCUGAUGUGAAAGCCUUCGGCUUAACCGAAGAAGUGCAUCGGAAACCGGGCGACUUGAGUGCAGAAGAGGACAGUGGAACUCCAUGUGUAGCGGUGGAAUGCGUAGAUAUAUGGAAGAACACCAGUGGCGAAGGCGGCUGUCUGGUCUGCAACUGACGCUGAGGCUCGAAAGCAUGGGUAGCGAACAGGAUUAGAUACCCUGGUAGUCCAUGCCGUAAACGAUGAGUGCUAGGUGUUGAAGGGUUUUCGCCCUUCAGUGCCGGAGAUAACGCAUUAAGCACUCCGCCUGGGGAGUACGACCGCAAGGGUUGAAACUCAAAGGAAUUGACGGGGGCCCGCACAAGCGGUGGAGCAUGUGGUUUAAUUCGAAGCUACGCGAAGAACCUUACCAGGUCUUGACAUCUUGCGCUAACCUUAGAGAUAAGGCGUUCCCUUCGGGGACACAAUGACAGGUGGUGCAUGGUCGUCGUCAGCUCGUGUCGUGAGAUGUUGGGUUAAGUCCCGCAACGAGCGCAACCCUUGUUACUAGUUGCCAGCAUUAAGUUGGGCACUCUAGUGAGACUGCCGGUGACAAACCGGAGGAAGGUGGGGACGACGUCAGAUCAUCAUGCCCCUUAUGACCUGGGCUACACACGUGCUACAAUGGACGGUACAACGAGUCGCAAGCUCGCGAGAGUAAGCUAAUCUCUUAAAGCCGUUCUCAGUUCGGACUGUAGGCUGCAACUCGCAAACACGAAGUCGGAAUCGCUAGUAAUCGCGGAUCUGCAUGCCGCGG